GAGUGAACGCAAUGAUAAUAUUUUAUUUUUUAAUUUUCUUUAACCUCUAAGUGGUUGUAAUUUAGCUUUAAUCACCAGCCAGAAACGGACAGAGACGGGCAGCUAGCAAGCUAGCUCGUUAGCUACGGUACAUAACAGAUGCUCCUCUGCCUUUGGUGGGUGAAUCUGUGAAUAUAACAUCCACGUAGUUCCUGUUUUACCAGCAUGAAGUGAAGCUAUGCAGCCUGAAUCCUAACAACCACAGCGCAGCCUUAGCAACAGCCGCUCGCUGCCCAGCGACCCAGUGGAGGAAACUGGAGUAACCAGCUUCAUUAUCUGCCGCUGCUAUUUAUCCAGCUACACAGCAGUAAAAUAUUCAUCACCACAUAAAGAGCCCAGCGAGGACUGGAUCUGCAUCUGCUGGCUCUGUUUGACAGCAGAGGUGGACGGAGACUGGGACUUCACCAUCAGCAGUGACAGAGUGGACAAAAGACCAGGCCAUCAUUUAUCUUCCCAAUACGACCCUGAUGCAAAUGAGGAAAAUGAAAGCAAGCAAUCAAUUCCCUAAUUGGCGCAACAAAGGCAGCCAGUGGGGAAGAGACGGAGCACCAGAUGCCUCCCCAUUGUGUGAGCGGUUGAUUAUUACACCUUUCAUUUGAGCAUUUAUAUUAUAAAUUAUUAUAUUUCUAAGAAGUGAGCGCAUGGAUGAGUUUUCGUGGGUUAAAAAGCUGAGUUACUUCCCACCCGAAGCGGCCGCCCUGUUGGAGGUUGUGGAGUUAGAGCGGAGGCCGAGCAGCCGAGCAUUUGCUUUGAGCUCCUCAUAAACAAAUUAGACUGUUGAUAUACCGCUCAGCUCAGCUGCUCCCUCCUCACACAUCAAUGGUUUAUUUACCCGCGGAGAGAAGCCGCUGAAUUAGAAUAAGAAUGAGAUUAUGUAUCUCUACACUAAACCGAACCAUGAAUUACUGUAAACUCACUGCUGAGUGAGGAGCGUUUUAGCUGCACUCAUUUCACUUGUUCCUUUUCCUCCUGUUGGUAUAAAGACAAAGAGAAACCCCUUAAAAGCAGCCUUUAACGGCACACACUUAA
This is a long non-coding RNA of Betta splendens (Siamese fighting fish), 1068 nucleotides long. RefSeq lists it as uncharacterized. NCBI's taxonomy places the organism in Eukaryota, Metazoa, Chordata, Actinopteri, Anabantiformes, Osphronemidae. The record is from RefSeq and is a predicted model, not a curated record. The transcript has 4 exons.